Molecule: ribosomal RNA, 402 nt
Filed under: Bacteroidota bacterium
Lineage: Bacteria; Pseudomonadati; Bacteroidota
Description: Bacteroidetes bacterium partial 16S ribosomal RNA
Rfam family: Bacterial small subunit ribosomal RNA
Source: RNAcentral
UGGGGAAUUUUGCACAAUGGGGGAAACCCUGAUGCAGCGACGCCGCGUGAUUUAGAAGGCCUUCGGGUUGUAAAAAUCUUUUCUAUGGGAAGAAAAUGACAGUACCAUAGGAAUAAGGACCGGCUAAUUACGUGCCAGCAGCCGCGGUAAUACGUAAGGUCCGAGCGUUGUCCGGAAUCAUUGGGCGUAAAGGGUACGUAGGCGGGUAAGCAAGUUAGAAGUGAAAUCCUGUAGCUCAACUACAGUAAGCUUUUAAAACUGCUCAUCUUGAGAUAUGGAAGGGAAAGUGGAAUUCCUAGUGUAGCGGUGAAAUGCGCAGAUAUUAGGAGGAACACCAGUGGCGAAGGCGACUCUCUGGUCUGUAACUGACGCUGAGGCUCGAAAGCGUGGGUAGCAAACAGG